This 1032-nucleotide ribosomal RNA is filed under the name Triticum aestivum (bread wheat). RNAcentral's name for it is "partial small subunit ribosomal RNA". Lineage: Eukaryota; Viridiplantae; Streptophyta; Magnoliopsida; Poales; Poaceae. The record is from RNAcentral.
AUGCGGCUGGGCGCACAGGGGCAGCCACAUCCGGACCCCGCGCAGCGUGGGAGGAGCUGGACCCGGCGCAGACGGCGACGCGGCGUGGGGGCAGAACAGGCGAAGACGGCGCGGGAUAGACUUGGAGCGGCGCCUUGGGCCAUCCGCGCGCGCCCGCGGACGAGAGCCGCAGGGAGCGACGCGCGCGUAGGGGCCGGAGACGGGGCGUGGAGGCCGGGGCUCCGGCUCGGGAUGAAGCCGGAGGCAGGGGCGCUGGCGACCCGGCGUCCGGGUUGCGGGAGCGGAGCAGCAGGCAGCGAGGCGCGGGACUCGGCGUCCGGGUUGUGGCGCCGCAGCGGAGCCGGCAAGCGCCGGGAGCAGCCGGCAACCCCGGGCCGGCAGGCGCGCGGGAGGCGGCCGGGCGCGAGGAAGGGCGGAGCCGGCAGGGGCGCGCAGGCGGCGACCGGCUACGACGCGCGGCGCGAGAGCCUGCGGCCGGGACCUGCUGAAGUGACGAUCCGGCGGCGCGCGCGCGGCCAGGGCCGCAGGCGCCGAGCAGGCGGCCACGAGCGGAGCCAGUGGGGGGCACCAGAGGAGCCGGACGCGGCCGGGCUCGAGGAAGCAGCCUGGAGCCGGCGCGGGGAAGCGGGCGGAGGCACGGCCGGUCGCGCGCACGGGGCGGGGCCGCGGAAGGGCGUCGAGCGUGCCGUGCGGGGUUCCCUCCAGACGGCGCACGGGAGGGCGAGGGGCGUUGGAGGGCGGCCGACUGCUCGGUUUGGCGUCCGGAGAUGGUGGCCGGGCCGCGCCCGACGACCUGCGGGGGAGGACCCGGGCCUGAACACGGCAGCGGGGCAGCACUCAACAGCGGCGGCAACUUGGCAAGCUGUAGAGCAGUGGUCAUGGCCGGAGGUGGCACAUGGGAGGAGGAGGUCGAGCUGGAGGCCGGCCCGAGCCGCGGGCGCAUGGGGAAAGGUGCUGCAGGGCGAGGUGCAGCCAUGGCAGGGCGUCGCGCGGGAGGAAGCGAGCGUGUGUGCAGACGGCAGCGGCAUAUGA